UGAGGAAUAUUGGUCAAUGGGCGAGAGCCUGAACCAGCCAUCCCGCGUGCAGGAUGACGGCCCUAUGGGUUGUAAACUGCUUUUCUGCUCCAAGAAACCCACCUACGUGUAGGUGGUUGACGGUAGAGUAGGAAUAAGCAUCGGCUAACUCCGUGCCAGCAGCCGCGGUAAUACGGAGGAUGCAAGCGUUAUCCGGAUUCAUUGGGUUUAAAGGGUGCGCAGGUGGGAAUGUAAGUCAGUGGUGAAAUACUGCCGCUUAACGGUAGAGCUGCCAUUGAUACUGCGUUUCUUGAGUAUGGUUGAGGUAGGUGGAAUGUGUUGUGUAGCGGUGAAAUGCAUAGAUAUGACACAGAACGCCGAUUGCGAAGGCAACUUACUAAGCCAUUACUGACGCUGAGGCACGAAAGCGUGGGUAGCGAACAGG
This 424-nucleotide ribosomal RNA is filed under the name uncultured Maribellus sp. RNAcentral describes it as "bacterial SSU rRNA". It matches the Rfam family "Bacterial small subunit ribosomal RNA", at positions 355 to 776 of the family's 1533-position model. Lineage: Bacteria; Pseudomonadati; Bacteroidota; Bacteroidia; Marinilabiliales; Prolixibacteraceae. The record is from RNAcentral.